UGUGGUUAGGGGUGAAAUGCCAAUCGAACUCGGAGCUAGCUGGUUCUCCCCGAAAUGUGUUUAGGCGCAGCGGUUGUGAUUAUAGUUUGGGGGUAAAGCACUGUUUCGGUGCGGGCGGCGAAAGCUGUACCAAAUCGAGACAAACUCAGAAUACCAAAUGCACACACAACCAGACAGACGGUGGGGGAUAAGCUUCAUCGUCAAGAGGGAAACAGCCCAGACCACCAGCUAAGGUCCCCAAAUUGUCACUAAGUGAUAAAGGAGGUGGGAGUGCAAAGACAACCAGGAGGUUUGCCUAGAAGCAGCCAUCCUUGAAAGAGUGCGUAAUAGCUCACUGGUCAAGCGCUCCUGCGCCGAAAAUGAACGGGGCUAAGUGACGUACCGAAGCUGUGGGAUAAGAAAUUAUCGGUAGGGGAGCGUUCUGUUGUAGGGCGAAGCACUAGCGGCAAGCAGGUGUGGACGAAACAGAAGUGAGAAUGUCGGCUUGAGUAGCGAAAACAUUGGUGAGAAUCCAAUGCCCCGAAACCCUAAGGGUUCCUCCGGCAGGUUCGUCCGCGGAGGGUUAGUCAGGACCUAAGGCGAGGCCAAACGGCGUAGUCGAUGGACAACGGGUGAUUAAUCCCGUACUGAUUUUGGUUUGUGCAGAGGGACGGAGAAGGCGAACACUAGCCAGAAGUUGGUUACUGGUGCAAGCGUUCGAGGCGAUGAGAAGCGGCGAAAACGCUUUGAGCUAAGGCGCGAGUCCGAGUGUCUACGGACGCGAAGUAGUGGAGUCAAGCUUCCCAGAAAAGCUCGGUGGCACGUUAAGCCAAAAUUACCUGUACCCGAAACCGACACAGGUAGGGAGGUUGAGAAUACCAAGGGGCGCGAGAUAACUCUCUCUAAGGAACUCGGCAAAAUGGCCCCGUAACUUCGGAAGAAGGGGUGCCCACCUCAGACGUGGGUCGCAGUGAAGAGAUCCAGGCGACUGUUUACCAAAAACACAGGUCUCCGCAAAAUCGUAAGAUAAAAUAUGGGGGCUGACGCCUGCCCAGUGCCGGAAGGUUAAGGAAGUUUGUUAUGUAUUAAUACAGAAGCGAGCGACUGAAGCCCCGGUGAACGGCGGCCGUAACUAUAACGGUCCUAAGGUAGCGAAAUUCCUUGUCGGGUAAGUUCCGACCCGCACGAAAGGCGUAACGAUCU
RNAcentral lists this ribosomal RNA (1182 nucleotides) under Picocystis salinarum. RNAcentral describes it as "partial Bacterial large subunit ribosomal RNA". It matches the Rfam family "Bacterial large subunit ribosomal RNA", at positions 810 to 2010 of the family's 2925-position model. The record is from RNAcentral. Lineage: Eukaryota; Viridiplantae; Chlorophyta; Picocystophyceae; Picocystales; Picocystaceae.